UACGUAGGGUGCAAGCGUUGUCCGGAAUUAUUGGGCGUAAAGAGCUCGUAGGCGGUUUGUCGCGUCUGCUGUGAAAGACCGGGGCUCAACUCCGGUUCUGCAGUGGGUACGGGCAGACUAGAGUGAUGUAGGGGAGACUGGAAUUCCCGGUGUAGCGGUGAAAUGCGCAGAUAUCAGGAGGAACACCGAUGGCGAAGGCAGGUCUCUGGGCCACUACUGACGCUGAGAAGCGAAAGCAUGGGGAGCGAACAGG
This 253-nucleotide ribosomal RNA is filed under the name uncultured bacterium. RNAcentral's name for it is "partial 16S ribosomal RNA". It matches the Rfam family "Bacterial small subunit ribosomal RNA", at positions 524 to 776 of the family's 1533-position model. The record is from RNAcentral.